UUGAAAGGGAAACGAUUGAAGUCAGUCGUACUGACGGGAAAUCAACUUCUCGAGUGCUUGUCGUGGGUGAUGUAGAGCCUCACGGCCUUCGUUGCUUGCGUUAUGGUGCUUUUGGGGUGUACUUUUCCGUAUGGUAGGUCAAUAUCGAUUUUGGUCGUCAUAAAAUGAUCGGAGGAAUGUGGCUUCGAUCUCGUAUCGGAGUGUUAUAGCCUUUGGUAGAUGUGACGAUUGGGAUCGAGGAUUACAACGAAUACCCUUUGGGCUAUCCGUCUGACCUCUGAAAGUCGCUCGGGUGUCGAAAGCGUGCUUAUGACAUUCUAGUUGCGGUCAAAAGGUAGAACGCGAUUACAUUCGUUAAGGAUGUUGACGUA
RNAcentral lists this ribosomal RNA (371 nucleotides) under Glomus sp. hr73. RNAcentral's name for it is "eukaryotic LSU rRNA". Lineage: Eukaryota; Fungi; Glomeromycota; Glomeromycetes; Glomerales; Glomeraceae. The record is from RNAcentral.